Molecule: ribosomal RNA, 301 nt
Filed under: uncultured bacterium
Lineage: Bacteria
Description: partial 16S ribosomal RNA
Rfam family: Bacterial small subunit ribosomal RNA
Source: RNAcentral
CAGUCGCCACGGUAAUACGGAGGAUCCAAGCGUUAUCCGGAAUCAUUGGGUUUAAAGAGUCCGUAGGCGGUCUUGUAAGUCAGUGGUGAAAGCCCAUCGCUCAACGGUGGAACGGCCAUUGAUACUGCAGGACUUGAAUUAUUGGGAAGUAACUAGAAUAUGUAGUGUAGCGGUGAAAUGCUUAGAGAUUACAUGGAAUACCAAUUGCGAAGGCAGGUUACUACCAAUUGAUUGACGCUGAUGGACGAAAGCGUGGGUAGCGAACAGGAUUAGAUACCCCUGUAGUCCCUGUCUCUUAUAC